GACGAACGCUGGCGGCGUGCUUAACACAUGCAAGUCGAACGGAAAGGCCCUGCUUUUGUGGGGUGCUCGAGUGGCGAACGGGUGAGUAACACGUGAGUAACCUGCCCUUGACUUUGGGAUAACUUCAGGAAACUGGGGCUAAUACCGGAUAGGAGCUCCUGCUGCAUGGUGGGGGUUGGAAAGUUUCGGCGGUUGGGGAUGGACUCGCGGCUUAUCAGCUUGUUGGUGGGGUAGUGGCUUACCAAGGCUUUGACGGGUAGCCGGCCUGAGAGGGUGACCGGCCACAUUGGGACUGAGAUACGGCCCAGACUCCUACGGGAGGCAGCAGUGGGGAAUAUUGCACAAUGGGUGGAAGCCUGAUGCAGCAACGCCGCGUGCGGGAUGACGGCCUUCGGGUUGUAAACCGCUUUCGCCUGUGACGAAGCGUGAGUGACGGUAAUGGGUAAAGAAGCACCAGCUAACUACGUG
This 468-nucleotide ribosomal RNA is filed under the name uncultured bacterium. Its description in RNAcentral is "partial 16S ribosomal RNA". It matches the Rfam family "Bacterial small subunit ribosomal RNA", at positions 28 to 507 of the family's 1533-position model. The record is from RNAcentral.